Molecule: long non-coding RNA, 754 nt
Filed under: Salvator merianae (Argentine black and white tegu)
Lineage: Eukaryota; Metazoa; Chordata; Lepidosauria; Squamata; Teiidae
Description: lncRNA (ENSSMRG00000015186.1)
Source: RNAcentral
AGUGUGGCGCUCCGCCUCUUUAGCCUGGACAAGCAGCGCGCACGGACGGAGCGCUGCGCACCGAGAGCUCCGUUGCAGGUGGAAUUUGGAAGGAAGACAAGCCGCCGCCGCCUUUCCUCUUUGCGCGGCCUCUUGGAAGGCGCGCCUUUGCUUCGCCGGAGUGAGACGCUGCUUUGCAGGAAAGAGACGCUCCUGCCUUGCCCAUGGGCAUGUUAGCCGUAGGAUGGCCUCUCUGCCCUGCCUUGCCGUGGGGUUUAAUAAUCCGCGAGACAGAGGAGGAGAAGCAACUUUGGGCGCAGCUACCCUCGGAAAAAGUUUUGGACGUAUUUUGCAAGAGCGUCUUCGGUUCGGGUGGGGGCGCGGAGGACGGAUCCACUUCCCUUCUGCAACUGCUUACUCUACCCAGUUCGGGUUGAACGACAGCUUUCCUUGCUCACCAGUGCCGACAGCUGUACCUUUUGGCCAAAAUAGCACUUUGCGUUGGAAGACCCGGCAGCAGAGCCCUAAAAGCUGAACAACUGAUGGCGUAACUCAGGGAGCUUUGUUGGGGCAGCAACAGGCACACCACCAAACGGCUUUGAAUUCUUCAAAUUGAAAUGCACCAGAGUCUAUCAGAAGCAUACCAGUUGUCCUUGCUCCUUUAGCAAUGUUGAAGCUUUUUUGCUUUGUUUGUCAAGCUGGGCCUUCAACUACCUGCCUCCAAAGAAAGCACUGGAUUCUUAAUAAAAACUCCACAUAUGUCUAAUCUUUCCCA